This 253-nucleotide ribosomal RNA is filed under the name uncultured bacterium. RNAcentral's name for it is "partial 16S ribosomal RNA". It matches the Rfam family "Bacterial small subunit ribosomal RNA", at positions 524 to 776 of the family's 1533-position model. The record is from RNAcentral.
UACGUAGGGUGCAAGCGUUGUCCGGAAUUAUUGGGCGUAAAGAGCUCGUAGGCGGUUUGUCGCGUCUGCUGUGAAAACCCGAGGCUCAACCUCGGGCCUGCAGUGGGUACGGGCAGACUAGAGUGUGGUAGGGGAGACUGGAAUUCCUGGUGUAGCGGUGAAAUGCGCAGAUAUCAGGAGGAACACCGAUGGCGAAGGCAGGUCUCUGGGCCACUACUGACGCUGAGAAGCGAAAGCAUGGGGAGCGAACAGG